RNAcentral lists this long non-coding RNA (3795 nucleotides) under Hordeum vulgare. RNAcentral's name for it is "long non-coding RNA (HVUL_LNC003163)". Lineage: Eukaryota; Viridiplantae; Streptophyta; Magnoliopsida; Poales; Poaceae. The record is from RNAcentral.
UUUUCGUUUGAAAAGGAGGUUAAGGUGACGACCCGAGCCGUGGGUCGUCUCCAUCACGAAAACCUACGCGGUGAUCAAAAUCCAUCUCGUCGUCAUCUACUAAAGAAAUAACGCCCUCAAUGUAUUAGUAAAAUUCUCCACCGGUGCACAAAAUCGGAUGCGCUGCGAAAUAUCUCGAUGCAUUGGCGGGCUCGAUUUCCUGCUAGAUCCGGUAGACAGGUAAUAUAUGCACUGUAUUAAUCCGUUUAAUUCGUUCCGCAUACACGUAGGUACGGGCGGCUGACCGAUUAUUCUCUGAUUUGGUGAGCGCGCCGUAGAUUCCCUCUCACAGAGGCCGCGGGUGGUGCUGAGCAGACAUAUCUGUUGGUUUUGAUGGUCGUUGCAGCUGGACAUCACGGUGGCUGUGUUGAGCAGGAUGACUCCGGCCGCAAGAGGAAGCGUCGCCUAAUGAAUCGUUAGAGUCCGUCAGAGAUUUGAGCCGAGAUGCGCCACUCUGGAGUAGAAGGUAUAUAUUCCAUCCGUCUUAAAAUAAGUGUCUCGAUCUUAGUACAACUGUGUACUAAAUCUACUUUCUCCGUUACAGUUUACAAGACACAGUUAAAUUUACGUGCAUUUCCAUAAUGGACAAGAUUUAGGACGCAUUGUAUUUACUCCUAACAGCUAAUUAGUACUCUGUUAUACUACUUCUAUAUGCAUGCGUAGUGUGAAUGUUAUUUUUUAGCCCAUCUCACACUCAAUCAAUAACCAAUUAGGUUUCACAGAAUUUUCAAGUACGUCUUCUAAGUCGUGAUGGAGGUAGAAGUACAAAGUUGAGACAUUUCACUACAACAGGACCCCCCCUAUAGCAACGCCUUUUUUCGUAUCUAAAUGUCCAUAUAUGCGUUGCUAAUGUCUUUACCAACACUUUGCGAUGCGUAGCCUUAUCCAGUGUUGCUAGUGCAUCAUGCAACACUUAUACUGCCGUUGGUAAAAGGGAUCGUUGCAAGACUGCAACAAAUAACACAGACUUCUACAACAAUUUUAUAUGUUGGUGUUGACGUACAAGAAUCAAAAUGCCAUUGCUUGGCAACGAAGAAUUUCCAAUGCUUCAAGUGUUGGUACAUAUAUAUAUAGUGUGAAUAAUAAUAAUAUUAUUACAUAUAUAGUGCUAGCAAUUAAAUUAAUUCUCCAUGUAAAUGUGAUAGUUAUAUAUUUCAAGUGAAGUAAAAACAAGACAAUAUACUCACGAGAGGAAGAAAUCAUAUAUUAGAUAAAAAUUGUUGGAUUACAACAAUGGAUAAUAGAUAUUACACGAGGGACAUCAUCCAAAUGUGAUGCACAAUCUAACUAUUUUCUUGACAACAAAACUUAAACUGAAAGCACCCAUCAACAUCCCUACAACUUAUCUAAAACUUAACGGAGCAACAACAUCCGACAGGAGCAUCAUCCCUACACCAUAACUUAAACUAAAACCAUCCAUCAUCAUCAUCAUGAAUCAGAACAUCGACAUCAUCAUUGUAGUAUAUAUAAUUGUGACACCCAUAUACUCAUCCAUUUAUCUUUUGAAUCUACAAACAAGAAAACAAAAUGAACUGUUAGCACACAAUGCAUUAACAUCAUGCUAGUAAUAAAGGCAAGAUAUUAGUCACGUACAAAGGUUGAAGGCCAUGCAAUCUUUGCUUUUUGUGCAUUACCGAGAGUAUUGCAGUUUUUGCUACUUUGUACCAAAUUUUUAGUAUGCACGAGUGCCAUAUCGAGAUGCACUACCCAGAAUUCGUUUCUAAUUUCAGGACCACCAGGUUUAAAUUUAGCAUCACAACUUACAAUUGUAGCUAGAGCUACGUCGUUGUUAUGAUUUUUCAGGCUUUCAAGAAUGCUAAGAAAAAUAAAAGUUACCAUAUGAAAAAACAAAAACAUGACAAGGGAACACAUGAAAUGAAUUUGAGCACUCUUACAAGUAGUUCAUUGGCACCCAUCGAAACCAGCGAACCACUUCGAGCACUCUUAUUGCAUGCAUUAGCACCUUUUGUUGUGUUUUUGGUCUGGAUAACAGUUUGAUAGCAAAGAAGAAGUAAUAAACAAAUAAACAAGGUGGCACUAUAGUUUGAACAAAAUUUGUAUGUGAUUACAAAAAGAUACCAACUUGUUUGCAAUAGAAGUUUUUUCUCCCUGACAUGCACUAACAUUCUCAAGCAAAGUUUGUUUGUUUGGAACAGCUGCAGCUAGCAAGAUGACCAGUAGAUACAUAUUUUGAACACAUUGUAUAUGUUAAUAGAAAUAUACCUUAUGUGCAGCAGAAUAUAUUUCCCCUUGUCAUGCACUGAAAUUCUUGUCCAUUACAUAUCUGCUUCAAAAUGACAAUGACCAAAAAUUCAAAUAAAUAAUGUAAAAGACGAUAUUCUUUGGUCCUACUCGACCUUAUGGCAGUCACUCAAAUAGAUAUGAUGACUAUUAAUUCAGAUUUCAACUCAAACAAUCAUAUAUUGAAGUAAUUUUUGCCAAUACAAUCAACAAAAAUAAGCCUGGCCACAUUUAUUCCUUAUCAAAUAAAAAUAGCAACUCAAGUAACAUCAAGUGAUUCCUAUUUCAUAGUGAAAACGAUGAACUAAUACAUGUAACAAUUACUCUGAAAUGUAAAUUUGCAAGGGGUCCAUUAUUUUGUUCAUCGGGUGUAUGAGAAAAGGAGGAAGUAACAAAAGGAAACUUCAUAUAGUACUUCUUUCGAUGACCCCAUGUUUUUAGUUAGGAAAACGCUUCUUAUCACACGGUUGGUAAGAGCUAUUCGUCAGACCAAUCGCAUGCCAUCGAUUCGUCUAAAAUCUCACGGUCCAGAAUGCAUCCCACUUCGACGCAUUCGCAAAACAGUCAAUCCCGAUUUUCUCGCGACACCCUCUCCCAUAAUCCCUCCCGCAUUAAUCUCAUCUUCAACAAACCCACUCUUCACUCAUCCUCGUCUCCUUCGCCUGCUCCGGUGCCGCCGAACUUGCCGAUCCCCUCGCCGCCCUCACCUCUCCGCCAUGAAUCAGCCUCCGUCCAUGUGCCCGUGAGACACAACGCGCCGUUGCCGCGGUUCACAAUGCGCCGUGGUGCGCUCUUCCGCCAUCCGGCGGCCAUGCCAUUAUUACCCUUCUCCAUUGCCUGCUUUGUAGCGGGGACCCCGUGCAUGCUCCACCAAGAAGCAGCACCAUCUUCCCUCUUCCACCAACCGUGGUGCAUCCUUGUGUGUCCAUGUCCGAUGGCUUAUGUGUGUAAACUUAUGUGUGGUCCUCGCAUGACAGGCGAGGCAGCGCAUGUAGAUGGCAACAUGUGAUGCCCUGAAUGAGGCUCCACCUUCACCCCAUGCUACUGCUAAUUCUACCAAAGUCUUGUACAGAGUGGUUUGCUUCUCAUGCUUCAUUAGUCUCUUGUACAUGUGUUUACUGUACAGAAACUUUCCUUCAAAGAUUGAUGAACCAUUGUUACUUGUUUCUUGGAUAUGUUUAUACUGCAGACACAAUGAGCUUGAGCCCUGUCCAUGAGGACUACGACAAUCCACUCCGACUCACCCCUGCGCGCGCCUGGCACAUCGUCGAUCGGUUUGUUUGUGGAGAUAUGGUGUGGAGCUUACUGACCAUCACAGAAGCAAAUUCUAUAUUCAACAGGGAUGCAUGAUCAUCACCACGGAAGCACUCCCCGUGUUAUUUGAUAAAAUGAUAUAGUUUUUCUUGUUCUUUAUGAUGGAAACAAUUCUAUAUUUGUAUGGAAGCAAUUUUUCUAGUUUGUAAAAAUGGUAGCAUAAUUAUUUGGAAGCAAAGUAUAUAUCUGUGAAAGCAAGGC